UAUAUAUAAUAAAUUUUAUUUUAUUUCACAUUGAUCUCAAUAGUCUAUCCUAUGCUGAUUAUUUUAUUUUAUUUUUGAUAGUGUGAUAACUUCUUAUUGAAUAGACUAAUCUAAAUUAAAUUAAAAUUGCUUCUAUAUCUUUCAAAAGUCAAGACAAAGGAUUUGUUAGGUGGAUUUGCUUUUAGUUCAAAAAAGAAGAGUUUCAAUAAAGAAUAAUUGAAAUCAAUAUGAUCUAGAAAUAAUCAUUCAAACACAUACAUUAAACAUAAGAUCAUAAGUGAAAAGCUCCUAAGAAUUGGCAGUCUUUAUUGAAAAUAAUAUAAGACACAGAGAAAGCAAACAUUCAAUUCACAGGAAAUGUAUGAAUAGUAUGCAGAUACUUAUAGACUAUAGUAUGAUGUCAAAUCCAAUACCGUCAAAGCAGCCUCACAUACUUCACUUACAAAAAGAAUUUAAACUAAAGAUUUGUCUCAAUGGAUAAAGUAAGUGACUCUAAAGAUGGGCAUUAUAUUAUUGAUGUACAAUGAGGUAACACAAGAAUUUUCAAUUAUUAAAAAUGAUUCAAGUCUAAAACUACUUCAAAGUAUCUAAACAUAAUAUUAAAGAUAUCAAAAAAUAUAAGAAAAUUUUGGAGAGUGAUUUGAAUAUGCCUAUAAGUACUUAAAUCCUCUAUAGUGCAAGAAGUCUUCUACAUCUAUAGUACCAAUGUAAGAAGUUUGUUAAUUUUUAUGUUCUUAUUAUGACCCUAUUGAGCUACUAAAAUCUCCAUAUUAUUUUUUCUUUUUGUGACAAGGAAAUUGAAGAAAUAUCACAAUAAGAUUGGAUAAAAAUCCUAUUGUAUAUAUUUCUAAAUACAAUAUAUCUAACAUGGAACAACCCUCCAUGUGAGGUUGUUGUUUGUGGCAAAUUUAUCACUACACUUUGGAUUGCACUACAAAUGUAGUCCAUUUCUCAAUUGGAUGGAACUACCAAGGGUGGUGUGGAUCUUUAGGAGGUCCAUAUUUAAUUUCACAAUUGAAGCGGAUCUUCUUGUAUUCAUAAUAGAACACCUUCUUGUUGUCUUUGAUGUCAAACAAUAUUGUAGUUACAAUGACAAAAGAAUUGAUGUUGCUAAGCAUAACAUCAUAAAAAAAAAUUAUUUGAAAAUAAACCUUUUAAAAUAUAGAAGUACUAUACCAACUAUAAUAAUUAGUUUAGAUUGGAAAAUAAUAUAGAUACGAAAGUAAUAUGGUCUAUACUAUUUCAUGUAUAGUUAGGUCAAUUGAUUCAAAUGUAUGGUAGGCAGCCAUUUCUAUUAUAUGUGUAUUGUAUUUUACAUGGUUGAAUAAAGUGACAUUUGAUAACUCAGUAGAUUGGUUUUUUUUAAUAGUUGCAAUUUAUAUUGUAAUUGUCUUGUAUU
RNAcentral lists this long non-coding RNA (1399 nucleotides) under Physcomitrium patens. Its description in RNAcentral is "long non-coding RNA (PPAT_LNC006607)". Lineage: Eukaryota; Viridiplantae; Streptophyta; Bryopsida; Funariales; Funariaceae. The record is from RNAcentral.